UUAAAUUGAAGAGUUUGAUCAUGGCUCAGAUUGAACGCUGGCGGCAGGCCUAACACAUGCAAGUCGAACGGUAACAGGAAUCAGCUUGCUGAUUCGCUGACGAGUGGCGGACGGGUGAGUAAUGUCUGGGAAACUGCCUGAUGGAGGGGGAUAACUACUGGAAACGGUAGCUAAUACCGCAUAAUGUCGCAAGACCAAAGAGGGGGACCUUCGGGCCUCUUGCCAUCGGAUGUGCCCAGAUGGGAUUAGCUUGUUGGUGGGGUAACGGCUCACCAAGGCGACGAUCCCUAGCUGGUCUGAGAGGAUGACCAGCCACACUGGAACUGAGACACGGUCCAGACUCCUACGGGAGGCAGCAGUGGGGAAUAUUGCACAAUGGGCGCAAGCCUGAUGCAGCCAUGCCGCGUGUAUGAAGAAGGCCUUCGGGUUGUAAAGUACUUUCAGCGGGGAGGAAGGGAGUAAAGUUAAUACCUUUGCUCAUUGACGUUACCCGCAGAAGAAGCACCGGCUAACUCCGUGCCAGCAGCCGCGGUAAUACGGAGGGUGCAAGCGUUAAUCGGAAUUACUGGGCGUAAAGCGCACGCAGGCGGUUUGUUAAGUCAGAUGUGAAAUCCCCGGGCUCAACCUGGGAACUGCAUCUGAUACUGGCAAGCUUGAGUCUCGUAGAGGGGGGUAGAAUUCCAGGUGUAGCGGUGAAAUGCGUAGAGAUCUGGAGGAAUACCGGUGGCGAAGGCGGCCCCCUGGACGAAGACUGACGCUCAGGUGCGAAAGCGUGGGGAGCAAACAGGAUUAGAUACCCUGGUAGUCCACGCCGUAAACGAUGUCGACUUGGAGGUUGUGCCCUUGAGGCGUGGCUUCCGGAGCUAACGCGUUAAGUCGACCGCCUGGGGAGUACGGCCGCAAGGUUAAAACUCAAAUGAAUUGACGGGGGCCCGCACAAGCGGUGGAGCAUGUGGUUUAAUUCGAUGCAACGCGAAGAACCUUACCUGGUCUUGACAUCCACGGAAGUUUUCAGAGAUGAGAAUGUGCCUUCGGGAACCGUGAGACAGGUGCUGCAUGGCUGUCGUCAGCUCGUGUUGUGAAAUGUUGGGUUAAGUCCCGCAACGAGCGCAACCCUUAUCCUUUGUUGCCAGCGGUCCGGCCGGGAACUCAAAGGAGACUGCCAGUGAUAAACUGGAGGAAGGUGGGGACGACGUCAAGUCAUCAUGGCCCUUACGACCAGGGCUACACACGUGCUACAAUGGCGCAUACAAAGAGAAGCGACCUCGCGAGAGCAAGCGGACCUCAUAAAGUGCGUCGUAGUCCGGAUUGGAGUCUGCAACUCGACUCCAUGAAGUCGGAAUCGCUAGUAAUCGUGGAUCAGAAUGCCACGGUGAAUACGUUCCCGGGCCUUGUACACACCGCCCGUCACACCAUGGGAGUGGGUUGCAAAAGAAGUAGGUAGCUUAACCUUCGGGAGGGCGCUUACCACUUUGUGAUUCAUGACUGGGGUGAAGUCGUAACAAGGUAACCGUAGGGGAACCUGCGGUUGGAUCACCUCCUUACCUUAAAGAAGC
RNAcentral lists this ribosomal RNA (1556 nucleotides) under Shigella boydii. RNAcentral's name for it is "bacterial SSU rRNA". It matches the Rfam family "Bacterial small subunit ribosomal RNA". RNAcentral also lists the same sequence under 5 other names. The record is from RNAcentral. Lineage: Bacteria; Pseudomonadati; Pseudomonadota; Gammaproteobacteria; Enterobacterales; Enterobacteriaceae.